UCCCUGUAGUAACUGUGCCUCGAGUUUGGUAACAUUCUGUUCCAGAAUCCGACUUUUAGACCAACAACAUCCGAAUUUUGAAACAAUUGUAACUCCGAGCUCCUUGCACCUGUCCCAGAACAGUACGUGAUGGCUGGCACAGGAAUGAAUGGAAGAAUAGAACCAAAUGGAGAUACGCAUACACCAAACGGAACGGGUAAUGCCAAUGCUGUUAAACAGAUCCGUGGGCUAUCCCCCUCCGUCAACAAGUUCCUUCACGAUGUCUUCGAAACCGUCUUGGAAGACGUCCUCAAGAAGAGCACUAGCGCAGGGUCAAAGGUCAUAGACUUUCUCACUCCAGAAGAGCUGAGC
Molecule: long non-coding RNA, 351 nt
Organism: Branchiostoma floridae (Florida lancelet)
Lineage: Eukaryota; Metazoa; Chordata; Leptocardii; Amphioxiformes; Branchiostomatidae
Exons: 3
Source: RefSeq, a predicted model, not a curated record